This 498-nucleotide ribosomal RNA is filed under the name uncultured bacterium. RNAcentral's name for it is "partial 16S ribosomal RNA". It matches the Rfam family "Bacterial small subunit ribosomal RNA", at positions 30 to 523 of the family's 1533-position model. The record is from RNAcentral.
AUUGAACGCUGGCGGCAUGCCUUACACAUGCAAGUCGAACGGUAACAGGUCUUCGGAUGCUGACGAGUGGCGAACGGGUGAGUAAUACAUCGGAACGUGCCUAGUAGUGGGGGAUAACUACUCGAAAGAGUGGCUAAUACCGCAUGAGAUCUACGGAUGAAAGCAGGGGAUCGCAAGACCUUGUGCUACUAGAGCGGCCGAUGGCAGAUUAGGUAGUUGGUGGGAUAAAAGCUUACCAAGCCGACGAUCUGUAGCUGGUCUGAGAGGACGAUCAGCCACGCUGGGACUGAGACACGGCCCAGACUCCGAUGGGGGGCAGCAGUGGGGAAUUUUGGACAAUGGGCGAAAGCCUGAUCCAGCAAUGCCGCGUGCAGGAUGAAGGCCUUCGGGUUGUAAACUGCUUUUGUACGGAACGAAAAGCCCCGGGUUAAUACCCUGGGGUCAUGACGGUACCGUAAGAAUAAGCACCGGCUAACUACGUGCCAGCCGCCGCCGUAA